Molecule: ribosomal RNA, 281 nt
Filed under: uncultured bacterium
Lineage: Bacteria
Description: partial 16S ribosomal RNA
Rfam family: Bacterial small subunit ribosomal RNA
Source: RNAcentral
AGAAUCCUACGGGGGGCAGCAGUGGGGAAUAUUGCACAAUGGGGGAAACCCUGAUGCAGCGACGCCGCGUGAGUGAAGAAGUAUCUCGGUACGUAAAGCUCUAUCAGCAGGGAAGAAAAAAAGUCUUUGGCUUUGGACGGUACCUGACUAAGAAGCCCCGGCUAACUACGUGCCAGCAGCCGCGGUAAUACGUAGGUGGCGAGCGUUAUCCGGAAUGAUUGGGCGUAAAGGGUGCGUAGGCGGCCUGCUAAGCCUGGAGUGAAAGGUACCGGGUCAAACGG